CGGGUGAGUAACGCGUAGAUAAUCUGCCUUAGACUCUGGGAUAACAUCUCGAAAGGGGUGCUAAUACCGGAUAAGCCCACGGGGACGUGAGUUCUUGCGGGAAAAGGGGGCCUCUGCAUAUGCUCUUGAUCUAAGAUGAGUCUGCGUACCAUUAGCUUGUUGGUAGGGUAAUGGCCUACCAAGGCGACGAUGGUUAGCUGGUCUGAGAGGAUGAUCAGCCACACUGGGACUGAGACACGGCCCAGACUCCUACGGGAGGCAGCAGUGGGGAAUUUUGCGCAAUGGGGGAAACCCUGACGCAGCAACGCCGCGUGAGUGAUGAAGGCUUUCGGGUCGUAAAGCUCUGUCUAGAGGGAAGAAGUGAUAUUUGGCUAAUACCCAGAUUUCUUGACGGUACCUCUGAAGGAAGCACCGGCUAACUCCGUGCCAGCAGCCGCGGUAAUACGGAGGGUGCAAGCGUUGUUCGGAAUUAUUGGGCGUAAAGCGCGUGUAGGCGGUUUGUUAAGUCUGAUGUGAAAGCCCUGGGCUCAACCUGGGAAGUGCAUUGGAAACUGGCGGACUUGAAUACGGGAGAGGGUAGUGGAAUUCCGAGUGUAGGAGUGAAAUCCGUAGAUAUUCGGAGGAACACCGGUGGCGAAGGCGGCUACCUGGACCGAUAUUGACGCUGAGACGCGAAAGCGUGGGUAGCAAACAGGAUUAGAUACCCUGGUAGUCCACGCCGUAAACGAUGAGUACUAGGUGUUGCG
RNAcentral lists this ribosomal RNA (746 nucleotides) under uncultured bacterium. RNAcentral's name for it is "bacterial SSU rRNA". It matches the Rfam family "Bacterial small subunit ribosomal RNA", at positions 103 to 827 of the family's 1533-position model. The record is from RNAcentral.